This 72-nucleotide transfer RNA is filed under the name Triso dermopterus. RNAcentral's name for it is "tRNA-Trp". It matches the Rfam family "tRNA". From Rfam's summary of the family: Transfer RNA (tRNA) molecules are approximately 80 nucleotides in length. Their secondary structure includes four short double-helical elements and three loops (D, anti-codon, and T loops). The record is from RNAcentral. Lineage: Eukaryota; Metazoa; Chordata; Actinopteri; Perciformes; Serranidae.
AGAGGCUUAGGAUAGCAUUAAGACCGAGAGCCUUCAAAGCUCUAAGCGGGAGUGAGACUCUCCCAGCCCCUG